RNAcentral lists this ribosomal RNA (527 nucleotides) under uncultured bacterium. RNAcentral's name for it is "bacterial SSU rRNA". It matches the Rfam family "Bacterial small subunit ribosomal RNA", at positions 984 to 1509 of the family's 1533-position model. The record is from RNAcentral.
ACAUACUAAGAACUUUCCAGAGAUGGAUUGGUGCCUUCGGGAACUUAGAUACAGGUGCUGCAUGGCUGUCGUCAGCUCGUGUCGUGAGAGUGUUGGGGUAAGUCCCGCAACGAGCGCAACCCUUUUCCUUAUUUGCCAGCGGGUUAAGCCGGGAACUUUAAGGAUACUGCCAGUGACAAACUGGAGGAAGGCGGGGACGACGUCAAGUCAUCAUGGCCCUUACGGCCAGGGCUACACACGUGCUACAAUGGUCGGUACAAAGGGUUGCUACCUCGCGAGAGGAUGCUAAUCUCAAAAAGCCGAUCGUAGUCCGGAUCGCAGUCUGCAACUCGACUGCGUGAAGUCGGAAUCGCUAGUAAUCGCGGAUCAGAAUGCCGCGGUGAAUACGUUCCCGGGCCUUGUACACACCGCCCGUCACACCAUGGGAGUUUGUUGCACCAGAAGUAGGUAGUCUAACCGCAAGGAGGACGCUUACCACGGUGUGGCCGAUGACUGGGGUGAAGUCGUAACAAGGUAAGCGUAGAUGA